Arvicanthis niloticus (Nile rat) is the source of this 97-nucleotide small nucleolar RNA. RefSeq annotates it as small nucleolar RNA SNORD116. Lineage: Eukaryota; Metazoa; Chordata; Mammalia; Rodentia; Muridae. The record is from RefSeq and is a predicted model, not a curated record.
GGAUCUAUGAUGUAUUCCCCAGUCAAAACAUUCCUUGGAAAAUCUGAACAAAAUGAGUGAAAACUCACUACCGCUUCUGUCAUCGGGACUGAGGUCC